This 494-nucleotide ribosomal RNA is filed under the name uncultured bacterium. RNAcentral's name for it is "partial 16S ribosomal RNA". It matches the Rfam family "Bacterial small subunit ribosomal RNA", at positions 28 to 507 of the family's 1533-position model. The record is from RNAcentral.
GACGAACGCUGGCGGCGUGCUUAACACAUGCAAGACGAACGGUGAAGCGCCUUCCUUUUUGGUGGGUGUGGAUGAGUGGCGAACGGGUGAGUAACACGUGAGUAACCUGCCCCCUUCUUCUGGAUAACCGCAUGAAAGUGUGGCUAAUACGGGAUAUUCUGGGUCUGUCGCAUGAUGGGUCUGGGAAAGAUAUUGUUUCGGUGGGGGAUGGGCUCGCGGCCUAUCAGCUUGUUGGUGGGGUGAUGGCCUACCAAGGCGGUGACGGGUAGCCGGCCUGAGAGGGUGGACGGUCACACUGGGACUGAGACACGGCCCAGACUCCUACGGGAGGCAGCAGUGGGGAAUAUUGCACAAUGGGCGCAAGCCUGAUGCAGCGACGCCGCGUGAGGGAUGGAGGCCUUCGGGUUGUGAACCUCUUUCGCCAGUGAAGCAGGCCUGCCUCGUUUGUGGGUGGGUUGACGGUAGCUGGAUAAGAAGCGCCGGCUAACUACGUG